This is a long non-coding RNA of Onychostoma macrolepis, 2561 nucleotides long. RefSeq lists it as uncharacterized. The transcript has 3 exons. The record is from RefSeq and is a predicted model, not a curated record. NCBI's taxonomy places the organism in Eukaryota, Metazoa, Chordata, Actinopteri, Cypriniformes, Cyprinidae.
UGUGAUCGCGGCUAUAUAAGCUCUCUUCCGUAUCAAUCAGCAGCUUUUUCCGCUUGCUCAGGAGCAAAUCAGAUGGCGAAUUCCAUCUCUAUGGGAAAGCUUUCAGUCAGGAAUUUUCCCACGGAGUUCUCACCAGACUCAACAAGUUUGUGAACUUGAACGCGAAUUCGCCGCGAUUGAUAUAGACCUUUUUCUGAACGCGGAAGUCUCCCCCGAUUAGAACGGUGCUUUACAUUUCCGGUUUCUAGUUACAUAUUUUCAGAGCCGAUAAUAUAAUGUGAAACCUAUGAAAGUCAUUUAAAAAAAAUAACGUGGCGCCAUUGUUUCAUCACUUUACAGUGUCGCAAUGACCGUCUUUUUGCAGUAAAGGACCAGUCAUAGUUCAAUGAGUGGGAAGAUGACAUGAAGCGACGCGAGGUUAAGCUGCAUUGAAAACAGAUGAGUGCACAUACAGUUCCUGAUUGGGGUGAAGUUCAUGGGAUUUUGUACACAGAAUGAAAAGAUCAAACAUUAUUUUAACAUAUAUUAUUAUUUCACACUCAGUAUUUUAACUUAAGCGCUGCAAGCCAUACCUGACAAGAUCAGAUUUUCUGAUACGCAAAACAAGAAUUCCUUAGCUUACUGCCGUUACUGUGGCAGCCAACAACAGCAAAGCAACGCUUCGCACAUUUUUAUAUGUAGUUAUAUUGAAAUAGUUUCAAUUCAGUCUAUCUUUUUUUUUACCCUGUUUUAAUGGGUUUCUAUGGAGACCGGAACACGAGAGCACCCAAACGGAAGUUAGAAUCCAUCAUGGCGCCGCUCAUCGGUUAUUCAGGAAAAAGGUCUAUAAGCUGAUAGAAUUGGAAGUGACCUGAGCAAGUACUGCUUCUCAUAACGAUAUAUCAUUGACAUAGACUCUUUGCCUGCAAUGCAUCGCUGAAGUUGUGCUAAUGUGACUGCAUCAACAACACUUUUACACGAGAUCUGCUUUCCCCGCUGGAAGAAGCAAAGAUAUCAAGGAGGGUUAAAGCAUCCACGUAAAAACUGAACAUUUAACCCUUUAUUCAUCUCUGAAUGUCUUCACGAAGCUAAGCUAAGUACUUAUUUCGUUAUCAUUGCCUUAUUCUAUGUUGGCAAUUAUGCUAUCGUCAAAUAUUGCUCGUUGUUAAGGCAGUUAUUCAGUAACAUGUUUGUUUGUGUAAUGUAUGUGCUAUUGGGUAUCAGCGUUUUGUGAUAAGCCUGCCCUCUAGUGGUGACAUAUAGUGAUGUAAUGACAUACUACUCAGAGUUAACAACAAUUCAGUAAAAGACAACGUGAGUUAACACAACACCAUUGUCUCCUGUGUAUCAUUCAUCUGCCAGCAUACACAACAAAAUUGGCGACGAGGAUGGGAUCAAUAACCACGGAUGCGUCAACAAGACCUGAAUGGACAUGAAAACAGGAAAUCACAGGAUCGCGAAAAGAGCUUUGAUCCUGCGCUUAAAAAAUGAAUGGUCUGAAAUCCGUCAUACAUGUCAGUCUGUCUAAAAGAAAUCCCCCGGGCCAGGAGCUAAGCACAGUUGAAGGAAUCACUCCGUGUGCAGCAUCCACUUGGAUGGUGCGACGGCAGCCACAGGACAACGGCGCCAGUGCGCUCACCACACACCAGCUACAGGUGGAGAGAAGAGAGAGAUAGAGCCAAUCAAGUGGAUGGGGAUUAUUGGGAAGCCAUGAUUGACAAGGGCCAGUGGAGGGAAUUUGGCCAGGACACCGCGGUUACACCCCUACUCUUUACGAUGUGUAUCAUGGGAUUUUUAAUGACCACAGAGAGUCAGGACCUCGGUUUAACGUCUCAUCCGAAAGACGGUGCUUUUUUACAGUGUAGUGUCCCCGUCAAUAUACUGGGGCGUUAGGACCCACACAGACUGCAGGGUGAGCACCCCCUGCUGGCCUCACAAACACCUCUUCCAACAGCAACCUAGUUUUCCCAGGAGGUCUCCCAUCCAGGUACUGACCAGGCUCAGCCCUGCUUAGCUUCCAUGGGCAAUUAUAAAUGUUGUUACUGUGGCCGCACCCGUGUUACGGCCGUCGGGCCUGGAUGCCGGGCCGACCAAGACCCAUCGUGAUGCCAUGGGCCAAGAGGUAGACGACAUCGCUGGAGAAGCCACCGUCCCUCGCGCCCUGGACCUUAGAGGGGAGCGCGUGCGGCCGCCGGACUCCGCCCCUUACCUGGACCCUCCCUUCCAGAACACUGCCCCUCCUUCACAAACCUCGCAGCACGACGAGGACACCAGAUCCCCUGUUUGUUUUGGACACUAUCCCCUUUGGACACUUUCUUUUAUUUCUGUUUAACAAAAGCCUCUCCGAGGCCUGACACCACACCCACUGUGUCUUUCGUUUGCUCCUCCCGUCACUAUAUAUAUAUAUAUAUGAAUUGCCAAUGCAGAUUGGAUGCAGAUCUCAACUCAGAUUCCAGAGAAACUGAGGGUCAAAAUAUAUAUAUUGAGAGACACAAAUUACAGUAAUUUGUGUGUAGAACAGCAAAUUGAAAAUAAAUGUGACUUUUCAGAUUUGAAAUGCCUGAAACUUGUAGCUUUAGUAG